Molecule: ribosomal RNA, 425 nt
Filed under: uncultured bacterium
Lineage: Bacteria
Description: bacterial SSU rRNA
Rfam family: Bacterial small subunit ribosomal RNA
Source: RNAcentral
GUGGGGAAUCUUGCACAAUGGGGGAAACCCUGAUGCAGCGACGCCGCGUGAGCGAUGAAGCCCUUCGGGGUGUAAAGCUCUUUCGACGGGAACGAUAAUGACGGUACCCGGAGAAGAAGCUGCGGCUAACUACGUGCCAGCAGCCGCGGUAAUACGUAGGCAGCAAGCGUUGUUCGGAGUUACUGGGCGUAAAGAGUGCGUAGGCGGUUUCGCAAGUUUGGUGUGAAAUCUCCCGGCUUAACUGGGAGGGUGCGCUAAAGACUGCGGGGCUGGAGUGUGGGAGAGGCAAGCGGAAUUCCUGGUGUAGCGGUGAAAUGCGUAGAUAUCAGGAGGAACACCGGUGGUGUAGACGGCUUGCUGGACCAUGACUGACGCUGAGGCACGAAAGCGUGGGGAGCAAACAGGAUUAGAAACCCGUGUAGUCC